Molecule: ribosomal RNA, 301 nt
Filed under: uncultured bacterium
Lineage: Bacteria
Description: partial 16S ribosomal RNA
Rfam family: Bacterial small subunit ribosomal RNA
Source: RNAcentral
CAGCAGCCGCGAUAAUACGGAGGGAGCUAGCGUUGUUCGGAAUUACUGGGCGUAAAGCGCACGUAGGCGGUUAUUCAAGUCAGAGGUGAAAGCCCGGGGCUCAACCCCGGAACUGCCUUUGAAACUAGAUGACUGGAAUCUUGGAGAGGUCAGUGGAAUUCCGAGUGUAGAGGUGAAAUUCGUAGAUAUUCGGAAGAACACCAGUGGCGAAGGCGACUGACUGGACAAGUAUUGACGCUGAGGUGCGAAAGCGUGGGGAGCAAACAGGAUUAGAUACCCCGGUAGUCCCUGUCUCUUAUAU